Molecule: non-coding RNA, 45 nt
Filed under: Echinostoma caproni
Lineage: Eukaryota; Metazoa; Platyhelminthes; Trematoda; Plagiorchiida; Echinostomatidae
Source: RNAcentral
GUACUACUGAUGAGCUCUAAAAAGAGCGAAACUCGAGUCUAGUGC